UGGGGAAUUUUGGACAAUGGGCGAAAGCCUGAUCCAGCAAUGCCGCGUGUGUGAAGAAGGCCUUCGGGUUGUAAAGCACUUUCGUCCGGAAAGAAAUCCUUGGCUCUAAUACAGUCGGGGGAUGACGGUACCGGAAGAAUAAGCACCGGCUAACUACGUGCCAGCAGCCGCGGUAAUACGUAGGGUGCAAGCGUUAAUCGGAAUUACUGGGCGUAAAGCGUGCGCAGGCGGUUUGCUAAGACCGAUGUGAAAUCCCCGGGCUCAACCUGGGAACUGCAUUGGUGACUGGCAGGCUAGAGUAUGGCAGAGGGGGGUAGAAUUCCACGUGUAGCAGUGAAAUGCGUAGAGAUGUGGAGGAAUACCGAUGGCGAAGGCAGCCCCCUGGGCCAAAUACUGACGCUCAUGCACGAAAAGCGUGGGGAGCAAACAGGAUUAGAUACCCUGGUAGUCCACGCCCUAAAACGAUGUCAACUAGUUGUUGGGGAUUCAUUUCCUUAGUAACGUAGCUAACGCGUGAAGUUGACCGCCUGGGGAGUACGGUCG
RNAcentral lists this ribosomal RNA (543 nucleotides) under uncultured bacterium. RNAcentral describes it as "partial 16S ribosomal RNA". It matches the Rfam family "Bacterial small subunit ribosomal RNA", at positions 355 to 888 of the family's 1533-position model. The record is from RNAcentral.